RNAcentral lists this transfer RNA (64 nucleotides) under Andrena bicolor. RNAcentral describes it as "tRNA-Ile". Lineage: Eukaryota; Metazoa; Arthropoda; Insecta; Hymenoptera; Andrenidae. The record is from RNAcentral.
AGUAAUAUGCCUGAUAAAAGGACUAUUUUGAUGAAAUAUAUAUGUAAAAUUCUUACUAUUACUA